UGAAGACCCAUAUGUUGUUAAGAGAGCCUUUUCAGGCGGCACAUUGAUUCUUACAACAAUGGAUGGUGAAGAGUUCACUCGUCCUGUGAACAUAGAUACAGUCAAGAAAUACUUCGCCUAAAAAAAAGAAUAACUCGCUAAGUUGAAAACCCAAAAGGGCGGCUUAGGCAAAAAUGAGCGUCUCGGUGGAUUGAAAACCCGAAAGGGCGAUCCAGGCAAAAAUU
Molecule: long non-coding RNA, 224 nt
Filed under: Lathyrus oleraceus (garden pea)
Lineage: Eukaryota; Viridiplantae; Streptophyta; Magnoliopsida; Fabales; Fabaceae
Description: Pisum sativum (pea) long non-coding RNA (PSAT_LNC029648)
Source: RNAcentral